This 107-nucleotide small nuclear RNA is filed under the name Castor canadensis (American beaver). Lineage: Eukaryota; Metazoa; Chordata; Mammalia; Rodentia; Castoridae. The record is from RNAcentral.
GUGCUUGCUUCGGCAGCAUAUAUACUAAAAUUGGAACGAUACAGAGAAGAUUAGCAAGGCCCCUGUGCAAGGAUGACAUGCAAAUUCAUGAAGCAUUCCAUAUUUUG